GUGUCAGCCGCCGCGGUAACACGUAGGGGGCGAGCGCUGUCCGGAAUUACUGGGCGUAAAGGGUACGUAGGCGGUCAUGUAAGUCAGAUGUGAAAGGCAUGGGCUUAACCCAUGUAAGCAUUUGAAACUACGUGACUUGAGUUAAGGAGAGGAAAGUGGAAUUCCUGGUGUAGCGGUGAAAUGCGUAGAUAUCAGGAGGAAUACCAGUGGCGAAGGCGACUUUCUGGCCUUAAACUGACGCUGAGGUACGAAAGCGUGGGGAGCAAACAGGAUUAGAUACCCUGGUAGUCCACGCCGUAAACGAUGAGUGCUAGGUGUCGGGAGGAGACUUUCGGUGCCGCAGUUAACACAUUAAGCACUCCGCCUGGGGAGUACGUUCGCAAGAAUGAAACUCAAAGAAAUUGGCGG
Molecule: ribosomal RNA, 408 nt
Filed under: uncultured bacterium
Lineage: Bacteria
Description: bacterial SSU rRNA
Rfam family: Bacterial small subunit ribosomal RNA
Source: RNAcentral